Molecule: ribosomal RNA, 644 nt
Filed under: uncultured bacterium
Lineage: Bacteria
Description: bacterial SSU rRNA
Rfam family: Bacterial small subunit ribosomal RNA
Source: RNAcentral
AGAGUUUGAUCCUGGCUCAGGAUGAACGCUAGCGGCAGGCCUAACACAUGCAUGUCGAGGGGUAAUUUCGAUCUUCGGAUCGGAAAACGACCGGCAAAUGGGUGAGUAAUACAUAUGCAACCUGCCCGUAGCUGGAGAAUAGCUUCCGGAAACGGAAAUUAAUACUCCAUAAUAUUCUAGUAUCGCAUGUUAUUAGAAUUAAAGCUUCGGUGGCUACGGAUGGGCAUAUGUCCCAUUAGCUUGUUGGUGAGGUAACUGCUCACCAAGGCUACGAUGGGUAGGGGGUCUGAGAGGAUGAUCCCCCACACUGGUACUGAGACACGGACCAGACUCCUACGGGAGGCAGCAGUGAGGAAUAUUGGUCAAUGGGCGAAAGCCUGAACCAGCCAUGCCGCGUGCAGGAUGACAGUCCUACGGAUUGUAAACUGCUUUUCUGCAAGAAGAAAUGUUCCGACGUGUCGGGAUUUGACGGUAUUGCAGGAAUAAGCAUCGGCUAACUCCGUGCCAGCAGCCGCGGUAAUACGGAGGAUGCAAGCGUUAUCCGGAUUCAUUGGGUUUAAAGGGUGCGUAGGCGGAUUAGAUAGUCAAAAGGUGAAAGCCUGCAGCUUAACUGUAGAAGUGCCUUUGAUACUGCUAAUCUGAGU